Small nuclear RNA from Dipodomys ordii (Ord's kangaroo rat), 107 nucleotides. NCBI's taxonomy places the organism in Eukaryota, Metazoa, Chordata, Mammalia, Rodentia, Heteromyidae. The record is from Ensembl.
GUGCUUGCUUUGGCAGUACAUACACUAAAAUUGGAAUGACACAGAGAAGAUCAGUAUGGCCCCUGUACAAGCAUGACACCUAAAAUCAUGAAGUAUUCAAUAUUUGG